UUUAUCUGAUGUUGACUUGACUGCUUUACUGUAACGUAAUUGUAGCAUUUCUACAACAGCAACAGUGGCUGCACAUGUGACCAGAUUUCUAUACUGAUCCCGAUCGUGGUUUGGACCAGACUUAAUACCUAUAAGCACACCUAAUAACAAAAAUAUAAAAGUCCCAGCGGCUUAUAACACAACUGUAUUUAAGAAGCACAACUGGUGUCCUCUCUGCAACAAAUAAUUAAUCAGACUAUUUGAUGGCUAUAGGCACCAAAGUCAGCUGUCAUACCGGAGGAGUCUUGUAGGCGGGGAAGGAUAGCAACAUUACUUCACUUCAAAUGGAAAAGACCAGGAACAAACAAUUAUAUUGUUAGCCAACUGCUUUGUGGCGCACUGACGUUGAGUCAUGCAAUCUGGGGGGCAAUGCCAGUGAAAUGGACUCAGCCAUAUUACAGCAGAAGACAGGAUGAAGAUGUGACAGCAUCAGGCUGAACCAGCAGAGCAACAAAAGGACCCCUGAGAGUGGCCUGAACCUGCCCUGGACAUUGAUGGCAGACCAUGAUUAGCUGAGAUGAGAGGAGGCUGGGAAGGGAGACCUCGGAUAUAGAAGUUUUCUAAGAGAGAAACGGUGCUGCCCAUAGAGAACUCCACUGUUGGCAUGGUGAUCCAAGUGGCUCAUGGGAAGGAAAGUGUGAGCCAGACUCCCUGAGAAUCGAGGAUACCCUGGAGCUGCUGAGAUGGAUAGUGGAGAAAGGGAAGGAGAGAAUUGAUAAGACAGGACAAUAACCACCAAGAUGCAGUUAUCCAGACUAACCCAGUAUAAUCCUUUAGGUCCAAUGCAGCUGGUGGUGUUCAUACGCAAAUAAGUCUGCCUGUCAUGUUUGCCUUUCCCGCCUGAGUUUAGAAUGCAAACAAUACAAGACAAGCCUGGGGAUUGUAGUAAUGUUUGAAAUUUAUCUUUAAAACAUAUGGUUCUUUCUUUAUCUCUCUCUCAGAACUGGCAGUUGCACCUCCAUCUAUCUGAAUGGAGUGAUAAGGACAGAUUUGAAGCUUGUGUAUACAAUGAAGUGAAACCUUUACUGACCCACAUCAGAAGUAUAAGGUCAUUUGGAUGCGGGGCUUGUAAGCCAGUACACCUGGGCUUAUUGCAUCAAGCCCAUCUGGAGGACAUUUACAACACAACCAAACACAGAACUAAUUUUGUAAUGGGACAUUCAAAACACAAAUUACUUUGAAGUUGGAGGAGGGAUAAAACACAGAAAUGAAAGCCCAUCAUAAUAUUAGGACAAAAAAACAGCAUCACUAUGACAACCCACUUCCAUGAUAACCGGGGACUAAAACAUCUAAACUAAUACCCUAUGUAUCUCAACUGCACAACCUUUUCACACACCUGCAAAAAAAUAGAUUAAAUAAUAUAACUUACUACUUUAUUUUAAUGCUUUACUACUGUAAAUUGCAAACAUUGGGCAAUAAGGUCAUAUGACAUUUUUUCCUGA
Long non-coding RNA from Monopterus albus (swamp eel), 1481 nucleotides. RefSeq lists it as uncharacterized. The record is from RefSeq and is a predicted model, not a curated record. The transcript has 4 exons. Lineage: Eukaryota; Metazoa; Chordata; Actinopteri; Synbranchiformes; Synbranchidae.